GCCUGCUCCAUCAGAUGGAGUGUUACGCUGGGAUUUCAGAAAAGCUCAGACACUGCACAAGGCGAGCGGCGCCUUCUAGCUCCGAGCAAAAAGGACUUCUUUUUUCUGCGCUGCCGAGGGAGUCUGGAACAAAAGGGACCGCGCUGCUUUACCCGAGAGCGAACAAUCGAAAGUUUAUGUGAAUCACAAUGUAGCCGUUCUCCCUGCGCAUCUCCACUGAGACAAAGAAAGACCUCAUGGCUGUGGGUACAAACAACACCGCAGACCGGAGACAGAAAGAAGCAGCCCGAGAGAGAAAAAAGAGAGAAGAAAAACAGAAGCAUGAGAGAAGAACAGGAAACUCCAGAAUAUUUCCAUCGGAAGUGCAACGUGGUGAACAUUUAAGAACCGAAAGUUGGUGCAUCCUGUCCCAUUUUCACUGAAUGAUCCCACACUGACGCAAGUCCUCUAAUCCGCUGAGCGCUGUCUGGUGUUACAGUAGACCUACAGCAACAGUGAAACCGAUAAGGAAAAAAGAAAGAGGGAAGGAAAAUCCUACCCUACUUUCAAGCGCCAUUUCG
This is a long non-coding RNA of Anguilla rostrata (American eel), 560 nucleotides long. RefSeq lists it as uncharacterized. The record is from RefSeq and is a predicted model, not a curated record. The transcript is spliced from 3 exons. NCBI's taxonomy places the organism in Eukaryota, Metazoa, Chordata, Actinopteri, Anguilliformes, Anguillidae.